GCGGCGGGGCAGUGCCAAGAUGUCUACGCCGGCCGUGCCGGAGCUCAAGCAGAUCAGCCGGGUGGAGGCCAUGCGCCUGGGGCCGGGCUGGAGCCACUCGUGCCACGCCAUGCUGUACGCCGCCAACCCCGGGCAGCUCUUCGGCCGCAUCCCCAUGCGCUUCUCGGUGCUGAUGCAGAUGCGCUUCGACGGGCUGCUGGGCUUCCCCGGGGGCUUCGUGGACCGGCGCUUCUGGUCGCUGGAGGACGGCCUGAACCGGGUGCUGGGCCUGGGCCUGGGCUGCCUGCGCCUCACCGAGGCCGACUACCUGAGCUCGCACCUGACCGAGGGCCCGCACCGCGUCGUGGCGCACCUGUACGCGCGGCAGCUGACGCUGGAGCAGCUGCACGCCGUGGAGAUCAGCGCGGUGCACUCGCGCGACCACGGCCUGGAGGUGGGGCCGCCGCCCGGGCCCUGCCCCCCGCCCCGGGGUUUGGCUCUGGCCCCGCGGAAGGCAACGAUGGGUGCUGGGGCUCGUGCGGGUGCCCCUGUACACGCAGAAGGACCGCGUGGGCGGCCUGCCCAACUUCCUGAGCAACGCCUUCAUCAGCACGGCCAAGUACCAGCUCCUCUUCGCUCUCAAGGUGCUCAACAUGAUGCCCGAGGAGAAGCUGGCUGAGGCCUUGGCGGCCGCCACGGAGAAACAGAAGAAGGCCCUGGAGAAGCUGCUCCCCUCUUCCUCCUGAGCAGCCCGCAGGCAGCCCAGGGAGGGACUGGCAGCACUGGCCACGCACCAGAAUGACCACAGCAGAGCCACACAGGACAGGAAGGUCGCCACUUGGUCUCCUGUGGCCACAAAGACUCCUCAGUGGAGCUCAGAGUCCCCGGGGUGCCUGCCCGGCCUGGUAAGCAGUGCCCUCUGCCACCUCAGCCUCGAGGAGCCGGCGCGAGCAGGCAAAGCACUUUGCUCUGUAAAUAAAAUGCCUGGGACUGGC
RNA transcript from Condylura cristata (star-nosed mole), 974 nucleotides. It is a transcript of the gene named nudix (nucleoside diphosphate linked moiety X)-type motif 16-like 1, with no coding region annotated. The transcript is spliced from 4 exons. The record is from RefSeq and is a predicted model, not a curated record. Lineage: Eukaryota; Metazoa; Chordata; Mammalia; Eulipotyphla; Talpidae.